AAAGGAAUAGACGGGGGCCCGCACAAGCAGUGGAGUAUGUGGUUUAAUUCGAAGCAACGCGAAGAACCUUACCAGGGCUUGACAUCCAUAGAAUCCCGUGGAGACGCGGGAGUGCCGCAAGGAGCUAUGAGACAGGUGGUGCAUGGUUGUCGUCAGCUCGUGUCGUGAGAUGUUGGGUUAAGUCCCGCAACGAGCGCAACCCUUAUUGUCAGUUGCCAGCAUUAAGAUGGGAACUCUGACGAGACUGCCGGUGAUAAAUCGGAGGAAGGUGGGGAUGACGUCAAAUCAUCAUGCCCCUUAUGUCCUGGGCUACACACGUACUACAAUGGCUGUCAACAACGGGAAGCAAAGGCGCGAGCCGGAGCAAAUCCCCAAAAACAGUCCCAGUUCGGAUUGCAGGCUGAAACCCGCCUGCAUGAAGUUGGAAUUGCUAGUAAUCGCAGAUCAGCAUGCUGCGGUGAAUACGUUCCCGGGCCUUGUACACACCGCCCGU
RNAcentral lists this ribosomal RNA (493 nucleotides) under uncultured bacterium. RNAcentral's name for it is "bacterial SSU rRNA". It matches the Rfam family "Bacterial small subunit ribosomal RNA", at positions 903 to 1397 of the family's 1533-position model. The record is from RNAcentral.